AGCAGCCGCGGUAAUUCCAGCUCCAAUAGCGUAUAUUAAAGUUGUUGCAGUUAAAAAGCUCGUAGUUGAAUUUCGGGAUCAGUAGGUUGGUCGUGCCACUGGUAUGUACUGGCCUCACUGGUUCCUCCUUCUUGUAGAACUGUAAUGUCAUUAAUUUGGUGUUGCAGGGAAACAGGACUGUUACUUUGAAAAAUUAAGUGUUUAAAGCAGGCUAACGCUUGAAUACAUUAGCAUGGAAUAAUGAAAUAGGACGUUCGAUCCUAUUUUGUUGGUUUCUAGGAUUGACGUAAUGAUUAAUAGGGAUAGUUGGGGGCAUUAGUAUUCAAUUGUCAGAGGUGAAAUACUUGGAUUUAUUGAAGACUAACUACUGCGAAAGCAUUUGCCAAGGAUGUUUUCAUUAAUCAAGAACGAAAGUUAGGGGAUCGAAGACGAUCAGAUACCGUCGUAGUCUUAACCAUAAACUAUGCCGACUAGGGAUCGGAUGAUGUUAAUUUUUAAUGACUCAUUCGGCGCCUUAAC
Molecule: ribosomal RNA, 519 nt
Filed under: uncultured Glomus
Lineage: Eukaryota; Fungi; Glomeromycota; Glomeromycetes; Glomerales; Glomeraceae
Description: SSU rRNA
Rfam family: Eukaryotic small subunit ribosomal RNA
Source: RNAcentral